RNAcentral lists this ribosomal RNA (420 nucleotides) under uncultured bacterium. RNAcentral's name for it is "bacterial SSU rRNA". It matches the Rfam family "Bacterial small subunit ribosomal RNA", at positions 355 to 774 of the family's 1533-position model. The record is from RNAcentral.
UAAGGAAUAUUGCUCAAUGGGAGAAAUCCUGAAGCAGCAACGCCGCGUGGAGGAUGAAGGGUCUAUGACUUGUAAACUCCUGUAAAGAAGGAAAAAAUUCCCAUUAGAUGGGAGAUGAUGGUACUUCUGGAGUAAGCCCCGGCUAACUACGUGCCAGCAGCCGCGGUAAUACGUAGGGGGCAAGCGUUGUCCGGAUUUACUGGGUGUAAAGGGUGCUCAGGCGGAUUUGUAAGUCAGAGGUGAAAUCUUACAGCUUAACUGUGAAACUGCCUUUGAUACUGCAAGCCUAGAGUAUGGAAGAGAGUGAUGGAAUAUCUGGUGUAGCAGUGAAAUGCGUAGAUAUCAGAUAGAACACCAAUGGCGAAGGCAGUCACUUGGUCCAUUACUGACGCUAAAGCACGAGAGCGUGGGUAGCAAACA